UCUCCUUUAGGUAGUUGAUCUUUUAUAUUUUGUAAGCACGUUUUUGGUUUUAGUGUAAGGGAUGUUAAUCCAAUUUUUGACUUCGCUUCCGCAUUUGAUAUUUUUAAUAUACAAUUCAUUUUAAAAAUUAUGGGGCCGUUACACAUAUACUAAUAGGAAAGAGGAUUUUGAUGAUAGAUAUCGUAAUAUUAGAAUGUACUUAAUAAAUUAUGGCAAUCUAAGAGGAUUUUGAUUCCAACACCUCUUGACUUGUUUAAGUUCAUCAUGGGUUGUGACUAGAACAUUUACCCAAAUAGACAUUAAGGAGAUUUCACACAAAAAUGGCCGGAACAUUCAAUUCGAAGGAGACACUAGUUAGAUGCUAUAGUAUUCUCAUUGCAGAUUCAGAGGCUCUUUUACACCCUCAUAUUGUCAAAUACAUUUUCUAGAGAAAUAUCUCUUACACCAUCUUCACCAGACAGACCAUAAUUCUUUUAUAAAUGUGUACCACUUUUUCCCUCAUCAUCACUACAUUCUUUUAUCAAGAAAGGAAUGCCUUGAGCACUAAUUACACCCUUUUCUCAAUCUUUCAAAUUAUACUCCAUUUAUAUUUACAAAAAUAAUAUGUAUCACUAACUAAAUACGAAAAUAAUAAUAUGAACACCUUGUUGAGCAUAAUGUGACAAGCAAGAAAAUAUUAAAUUGAUUCAAAGAGUCAUUUGAGGCGUUUUGUCGAGCACAUUACGAGCAGCCUUUAUGUCUCUUCAUUGACAACAACCUACGGCCUAUACGUCUCUCUAAAUUAACCGAACGACAUAAAUUAUCACCAAACAGAAGUAAAACACAAACAAAAAAUUAAUCAUGAGAAUUAAGUGUUAAAAUUAAAAUAUAGUAUUCGAUGAAUCAUACAUAAAAAUCACACACUCUAAAUUCACAGUCUUCAUGCACGUUAAAAAAAAAAAAUUAAAGUUCGUAUGUCACAAAAUUCAUCAGUUGUGCAAUAUAAUUUGGGUUAAAAAUUUACCUAUUUUCUAGCCUAAUGCUCCGGGAUUCUAAAGCUUCCCUUGUUGCAGAUUCCUGCGUGUUGUAGAAAUAAAAGAGGAAAGUUCAGGUUUGAAGAUUGAAGAAGCUUCAGAUUUGAAGAUUGAGAAAGCUUCAGAUUUGGAGAUUGAAGAACCUUCAGAUUGAGGAAGCUUAACGAAAGAGGAACCGAGGAAUGGAAGCUUAUCGUAUAUAAGCUUCGGAUUCUGCUAGGUGCGUAACAGAGAGAAAGGAAGAAGCUUGAUGAAGGUUCACAUUUUUUGGUUCGAGCUUCGACAGCUUCUACGCGUAUACAUAUUUAAAGGUGUUAAUUGUUUGAACAGUGUGGGUUUAUUUGAAUAUUUUUUAAAAAAUAAAAUGACUAAUUUAA
This 1390-nucleotide long non-coding RNA is filed under the name Carica papaya (papaya). RNAcentral's name for it is "long non-coding RNA (CPAP_LNC006040)". Lineage: Eukaryota; Viridiplantae; Streptophyta; Magnoliopsida; Brassicales; Caricaceae. The record is from RNAcentral.